Molecule: ribosomal RNA, 468 nt
Filed under: uncultured bacterium
Lineage: Bacteria
Description: partial 16S ribosomal RNA
Rfam family: Bacterial small subunit ribosomal RNA
Source: RNAcentral
GACGAACGCUGGCGGCGUGCUUAACACAUGCAAGUCGAACGAAAAGGCCCUGCUUUUGUGGGGUGCUCGAGUGGCGAACGGGUGAGUAACACGUGAGUAACCUGCCCUUGACUUUGGGAUAACUUCAGGAAACUGGGGCUAAUACCGGAUAGGAGCUCCUGCUGCAUGGUGGGGGUUGGAAAGUUUCGGCGGUUGGGGAUGGACUCGCGGCUUAUCAGCUUGUUGGUGGGGUAGUGGCUUACCAAGGCUUUGACGGGUAGCCGGCCUGAGAGGGUGGACGGCCACAUUGGGACUGAGAUACGGCCCAGACUCCUACGGGAGGCAGCAGUGGGGAAUAUGGCACAAUGGGCGGAAGCCUGAUGCAGCAACGCCGCGUGCGGGAUGACGGCCUUCGGGUUGUAAACCGCUUUCGCCUGUGACGAAGCGUGAGUGACGGUAAUGGGUAAAGAAGCACCGGCUAACUACGUG